Molecule: long non-coding RNA, 592 nt
Filed under: Piliocolobus tephrosceles (Ugandan red Colobus)
Lineage: Eukaryota; Metazoa; Chordata; Mammalia; Primates; Cercopithecidae
Description: lncRNA (ENSPTEG00000029148.1)
Source: RNAcentral
UUGAACAUUAUUUAAUAGACUCACAUUUUUAAGAUGAAAAACAUUUAAUUUGUCAUAUUUAUAUUUUGUCAAAUUUCUUAUCGUUAUUUUUUUCGAAUUCUUCCAUAUAUCUAAACUAUGUUUUUUUCCAAUUAUAUUAAAAGAACAAAAAUUUUUAUAUGAUUGUGUUAUUAAUACUUUCAUAUUUUUUUUUUUUUUUUUUUCUUUUUUUUUUUUUUUUUUUUUUGUCUUUUUCGUAUUCUAGCAUUCUUUUUAUUACCAUCCUUACGAUCACUAUCGUUACAUUUGUUAACAUUACCUCUUACCACUCCUGACUUAUUUACCAAACAAUCUUUCAUCAAAAUAUUUCUAAUAUUUAUCAAAUUUAAUCUUAUUUCUUUAUUCGUUUGUACAAUCAAUUGUAUGUACGAAUUUAUGUACGUACAUAGUAUAAUAAUAAAAACGGUUAUCACUUUUGUACUUAAUGCACUACUAGUAGUGCUACUAUUACUUCCAGACUUAUGUUCCAUAUUAACACUCGUUUCGUUAUCAAGAUUGGAUAAUAAUUCUAAAUAAGAAUAAAUACUACAUAAUACAUUUUUAGGACUAUGAA